GACGAACGCUGGCGGCGUGCUUAACACAUGCAAGUCGAACGGAAAGGCCCUGCUUUUGUGGGGUGCUCGAGUGGCGAACGGGUGAGUAACACGUGAGUAACCUGCCCUUGACUUUGGGAUAACUUCAGGAAACUGGGGCUAAUACCGGAUAGGAGCUCCUGCUGCAUGGUGGGGGUUGGAAAGUUUCGGCGGUCGGGGAUGGACUCGCGGCUUAUCAGCUUGUUGGUGGGGUAGUGGCUUACCAAGGCUUUGACGGGUAGCCGGCCUGAGAGGGUGACCGGCCACAUUGGGACUGAGAUACGGCGCAGACUCCUACGGGAGGCAGCAGUGGGGAAUAUUGCACAAUGGGCGGAAGCCUGAUGCAGCAACGCCGCGUGCGGGAUGACGGCCUUCGGGUUGUAAACCGCUUUCGCCUGUGACGAAGCGUGAGUGACGGUAAUGGGUAAAGAAGCACCGGCUAACUACGUG
RNAcentral lists this ribosomal RNA (468 nucleotides) under uncultured bacterium. RNAcentral's name for it is "partial 16S ribosomal RNA". It matches the Rfam family "Bacterial small subunit ribosomal RNA", at positions 28 to 507 of the family's 1533-position model. The record is from RNAcentral.